This 73-nucleotide transfer RNA is filed under the name Candidatus Electryonea clarkiae. RNAcentral describes it as "tRNA-Ala". It matches the Rfam family "tRNA". From Rfam's summary of the family: Transfer RNA (tRNA) molecules are approximately 80 nucleotides in length. Their secondary structure includes four short double-helical elements and three loops (D, anti-codon, and T loops). Lineage: Bacteria; Pseudomonadati; Candidatus Electryoneota; Candidatus Electryoneia; Candidatus Electryoneales; Candidatus Electryoneaceae. The record is from RNAcentral.
GGGGCUUUAGCUCAGUUGGGAGAGCGCCGGCUUUGCAAGCCGGAGGUCACCGGUUCGAAACCGGUAAGCUCCA